UACGUAGGGUGCGAGCGUUGUCCGGAAUUACUGGGCGUAAAGAGCUCGUAGGUGGUUUGUCGCGUUGUUCGUGAAAACUCACAACUCAAUUGUGGGCGUGCGGGCGAUACGGGCAGACUGGAGUACUGCAGGGGAGACUGGAAUUCCUGGUGUAGCGGUGGAAUGCGCAGAUAUCAGGAGGAACACCGGUGGCGAAGGCGGGUCUCUGGGCAGUAACUGACGCUGAGGAGCGAAAGCGUGGGGAGCAAACAGG
This 253-nucleotide ribosomal RNA is filed under the name uncultured bacterium. Its description in RNAcentral is "partial 16S ribosomal RNA". It matches the Rfam family "Bacterial small subunit ribosomal RNA", at positions 524 to 776 of the family's 1533-position model. The record is from RNAcentral.